This 620-nucleotide ribosomal RNA is filed under the name uncultured bacterium. RNAcentral's name for it is "bacterial SSU rRNA". It matches the Rfam family "Bacterial small subunit ribosomal RNA", at positions 682 to 1378 of the family's 1533-position model. The record is from RNAcentral.
UGAAAUGCGUAGAUAUAUGGAGGAACACCGGUGGCGAAAGCGGCUCUCUGGUCUGUAACUGACGCUGAGGCUCGAAAGCGUGGGGAGCGAACAGGAUUAGAUACCCUGGUAGUCCACGCCGUAAACGAUGAGUGCUAGGUGUUGGACAGUGCCGCAGCUAACGCAUUAAGCACUCCGCCUGGGGAGUACGACCGCAAGGUUGAAACUCAAAGGAAUUGACGGGGGCCCGCACAAGCGGUGGAGCAUGUGGUUUGAUUCGAAGUAACGCGAAGAACCUUACCAGGUCUUGACAUCCAGGUGGUGCAUGGUUGUCGUCAGCUCGUGUCGUGAGAUGUUGGGUUAAGUCCCGCAACGAGCGCAACCCCUAUUGUUAGUUGCCACUCUAGCGAGACUGCCGGUAAUAAACCGGAGGAAGGUGGGGAUGACGUCAAAUCAUCAUGCCCCUUAUGACCUGGGCUACACACGUGCUACAAUGGUUGGUACAACGAGUUGCGAGUCGGUGACGGCAAGCUAAUCUCUUAAAGCCAAUCUCAGUUCGGAUUGUAGGCUGCAACUCGCCUACAUGAAGUCGGAAUCGCUAGUAAUCGCGGAUCAGACGCCGCGGUGAAUACGUUCCCGGG